RNAcentral lists this ribosomal RNA (460 nucleotides) under uncultured bacterium. Its description in RNAcentral is "partial 16S ribosomal RNA". It matches the Rfam family "Bacterial small subunit ribosomal RNA", at positions 338 to 795 of the family's 1533-position model. The record is from RNAcentral.
CCUACGGGAGGCAGCAGUGAGGAAUAUUGGUCAAUGGACGAGAGUCUGAACCAGCCAAGUAGCGUGAAGGAUGACUGCCCUAUGGGUUGUAAACUUCUUUUAUAUGGGAAUAAAAUGUUCCACGUGUGGGAUUUUGUAUGUACCAUAUGCAUAAGGAUCGGCUAACUCCGUGCCAGCAGCCGCGGUAAUACGGAGGAUCCGAGCGUUAUCCGGAUUUAUUGGGUUUAAAGGGAGCGUAGGUGGAUUGUUAAGUCAGUUGUGAAAGUUUGCGGCUCAACCGUAACAUUGCAGUUGAAACUGGCAGUCUUGAGUACAGUAGAGGUGGGCGGAAUUCGUGGUGUAGCGGUGAAAUGCUUAGAUAUCACGAAGAACUCCGAUUGCGAAGGCAGUUCACUGGACUGCAACUGACACUGAGGCUCGAAAGUGUGGGUAUCAAACAGGAUUAGAUACCCCGGUAGUC